Molecule: ribosomal RNA, 389 nt
Filed under: Geodia sp. GW26969
Lineage: Eukaryota; Metazoa; Porifera; Demospongiae; Tetractinellida; Geodiidae
Description: partial 28S large subunit ribosomal RNA
Source: RNAcentral
ACGCAUGCAGCCGAACCGGCCCGCGUCGAGUUCAGGGGGCUGCCGGAGAUCGCACUCGUCGUCUUCACUUCGGGUCGACGGCGAGUCACGGUCUUCGGCACCCCUGCACUCUCGGCGUUUCGGGCCGGCCAAGCGCGGCGGGUGUUGGGCGAGGAGCGCGUUCGGGCAGGUACCGCAGCCGCCUGGCGGAGGCGAACUUAUAGCCGAGCGCGCGGAGCGUCCGAGACCCACCGAGGAGAGCGGUGGCACUUCCACCCCAGCAGCGCAGGCCGUCUCGACGGCAGGGGCGCUCUCGUCCGUUCGACCGCCGCACCGUGCCACUGCCUGCAGUGGCCGGGGCAGGCGGGCCGUUCGGGAGGGAGGUCGUCCACUCCUUGCGCUCUGGCCGC